RNAcentral lists this ribosomal RNA (501 nucleotides) under Salmonella enterica. RNAcentral describes it as "partial 23S ribosomal RNA". Lineage: Bacteria; Pseudomonadati; Pseudomonadota; Gammaproteobacteria; Enterobacterales; Enterobacteriaceae. The record is from RNAcentral.
GGACACGUGGUAUCCUGUCUGAAUAUGGGGGGACCAUCCUCCAAGGCUAAAUACUCCUGACUGACCGAUAGUGAACCAGUACCGUGAGGGAAAGGCGAAAAGAACCCCGGCGAGGGGAGUGAAAAAGAACCUGAAACCGUGUACGUACAAGCAGUGGGAGCACAGGUUUACCUGUGUGACUGCGUACCUUUUGUAUAAUGGGUCAGCGACUUAUAUUCUGUAGCAAGGUUAACCGUAUAGGGGAGCCGYAGKGAAACCGAGUCUUAACCGGGCGUUAAGUUGCAGGGUAUAGACCCGAAACCCGGUGAUCUAGCCAUGGGCAGGUUGAAGGUUGGGUAACACUAACUGGAGGACCGAACCGACUAAUGUUGAAAAAUUAGCGGAUGACCUGUGGCUGGGGGUGAAAGGCCAAUCAAACCGGGAGAUAGCUGGUUCUCCCCGAAAGCUAUUUAGGUAGCGCCUCGUGAAUUCAUCUCCGGGGGUAGAGCACUGUUUCGGCUA